GAUGAACGCUAGCGAUAGGCUUAACACAUGCAAGUCGAGGGGCAGCAUUAUUUUAGCUUGCUAAGAUAGAUGGCGACCGGCGCGCGGGUGCGUAACGCGUAUGCAACCUGCCUGUAAUUAGGGAAUAACCCGGUGAAAGUCGGACUAAUACCCUAUAUUCUUCUUUUUCCGCAUGGAGAAGGACGGAAAGAUUUAUUGAUUACAGAUGGGCAUGCGUCCCAUUAGCUCGUUGGUAAGGUAACGGCUUACCAAGGCAACGAUGGGUAGGGGGACUGAGAGGUUGACCCCCCACACUGGUACUGAGACACGGACCAGACUCCUACGGGAGGCAGCAGUGAGGAAUAUUGGUCAAUGGGCGAGAGCCUGAACCAGCCAAGUCGCGUGAAGGACGACGGUUCUAUGGAUUGUAAACUUCUUUUGUAGAGGAAUAAUGGCAGCUACGUGUAGCUGAGAUGCAUGUACUCUACGAAUAAGUAUCGGCUAACUCCGUGCCAGCAGCCGCGGUAAUACGGAGGAUACGAGCGUUAUCCGGAAUUAUUGGGUUUAAAGGGUGCGUAGGUGGCGUAUUAAGUCAGUGGUGAAAAGCUGCAGCUCAACUGUAGUCUUGCCGUUGAAACUGAUAUGCUAGAGAGGAGACGAGGUAUGCGGAAUGUGUGGUGUAGCGGUGAAAUGCAUAGAUAUCACACAGAACGCCGAUUGCGAAGGCAGCGUACCAGGCUCCGUCUGACACUGAAGCACGAAAGCGUGGGGAUCAAACAGGAUUAGAUACCCUGGUAGUCCACGCAGUAAACGAUGAAUACUAGAUUUUUGCGAUAUAGUGUAAGAGUCUAAGCGAAAGCGAUAAGUAUUCCACCUGGGGAGUACGCCGGCAACGGUGAAACUCAAAGGAAUUGACGGGGGCCCGCACAAGCGGAGGAACAUGUGGUUUAAUUCGAUGAUACGCGAGGAACCUACCCCGGGAUUGAAAUCAGAUGGCGGCAGAUGAGAG
This 988-nucleotide ribosomal RNA is filed under the name Porphyromonas endodontalis. Its description in RNAcentral is "bacterial SSU rRNA". It matches the Rfam family "Bacterial small subunit ribosomal RNA", at positions 28 to 1007 of the family's 1533-position model. The record is from RNAcentral. Lineage: Bacteria; Pseudomonadati; Bacteroidota; Bacteroidia; Bacteroidales; Porphyromonadaceae.